GAUGAACGCUAGCGGCAGGCUUAACACAUGCAAGUCGAGGGGUAGAAGGAGCUUGCUCCUUUGAGACCGGCGCACGGGUGCGUAACGCGUAUGCAAUCUACCUUUUGCAGAGGGAUAGCCCAGAGAAAUUUGGAUUAAUACCUCAUAGUAUGUGAGGAUGGCAUCAUUUUCACAUUAAAGUCACAACGGCAAAAGAUGAGCAUGCGUCCCAUUAGCUAGUUGGUAAGGUAACGGCUUACCAAGGCUACGAUGGGUAGGGGUCCUGAGAGGGAGAUCCCCCACACUGGUACUGAGACACGGACCAGACUCCUACGGGAGGCAGCAGUGAGGAAUAUUGGACAAUGGGCGCAAGCCUGAUCCAGCCAUGCCGCGUGCAGGAAGACGGUCCUAUGGAUUGUAAACUGCUUUUAUACAGGAAGAAACACUCCCUCGUGAGGGAACUUGACGGUACUGUAUGGAAUAAGCAUCGGCUAACUCCGUG
Molecule: ribosomal RNA, 481 nt
Filed under: uncultured bacterium
Lineage: Bacteria
Description: bacterial SSU rRNA
Rfam family: Bacterial small subunit ribosomal RNA
Source: RNAcentral